UUGGCUCUUCGCUCAGGAGUGCUCAGGAGAGGAGGUUCUGCAGAGUUUCCCACGACCAGGGAAGCGGCAGUCCCUCCUGGGUGGCAGUUUGCUGUUCUGGGAAGAGAGAUGUGGGCUGAAGUGGGAGAAAGGGGGCUUUCCUCCCACGGGGUCAACUGUGAUGAAGAUGAAAGCCACAUUGUCACAGAUGCAUCUGGAUAGCUCAUCCUGAGCCCUGGUGACCGGUUCAGGAGAACUGCCUGCAGCCAAGAGUCCAAGCUGCCACUCACUAGGAGGAAGCACAGGAAAUGAGGCAGAUGGUGCUGGGUGGCUGCUGGCCUGAGAUGCUGGGAGUGGUCAGCCCUGGGCAAAGAAGCCGCGCCAGCCCUCCUUCACCUUUGGGCCCUGGGCACCCUUCCACAGGUGACCCAGCUCAGGACAGAGGCUGAGGGAGUUUCCUCCUGCCCGGGCAGUGGCCCCUAAGCAGGGUCCUGGCCUCCCCACCAUCACCGUGAGAGCCCAGUUACAGAUGGAGGAGACCCGGACUCCAGCAGCAUCAUGACAGGCCCAGCUAGUCAACACACACUUCUACACAUUCUGUGCAGCGGGAGUAUAUUUGAACAAGACUCGGAUAUCCAUGGGAGUGAUGGCAUCUUCUAGUCCUGUCCAUGUUGAAUACAUAAGGUUCAGGAGUCCACGCUUUUACCUCCAAGACUCAUGCGGACCUAAGGACUGGUGCUGAACCCUGGGCAGAGUUAGGAACCCUUCUAAUGCAACUAGAAUCUUUAAGAAAACAAAGGACUGAUUGCAUGUCUGCUGAAAGAUGCUUUCAGAGUUCUUGGCUGCGUGAGGGUUUCAUCAUUUUGCCCAUCAGUGUGGUUUAAAGGAGACCACUUAAUCCCAAGAGCAGUGUUUUCCAAAGCAUAUCCCAUUGUACACUGGUCUUGUAAAAUGAGAAAGUAAAGAUGAUUGUGUAGUCAAAAAGUUUAUGAAACACUGGAUACUAGAUCCUCAUCUGGGGAGAUUCACAGUGCACUUUGCAUAUUAGAGGGCCUGAGAAGUCCUGCAAUAAAGAAAUUUGUUUAACUCAGUGUGAUCUAAACAUGUUUCACAAAAGAAUCAUUUUUUGGUGACAGCGAUGGGUAUCCCUUGAUAGCAGUGUUACAUUGAGUGCCUUUGGGGAAAGCUGCCUUUAGAAAUGUGUGUGUGUGUGUGUGUGUGUGUGUGUGUGUGUGUGUGUGUGUGUGUGUCCCUUACCUGCAGAGCUUCCUGAGGCUUGGUCUAGGGGGAGGAACACUUCUCUACCUUCUGCCUCCCUGUCUUCCAGUUCCCAAGUCUUAAGCUGGCCAACACACCUGCCCAGGUACAGGUGUUCUUCCUUUCUCUGCUGGCUCUUUUUUCU
This 1381-nucleotide long non-coding RNA is filed under the name Homo sapiens (human). Its description in RNAcentral is "HSALNT0030660". The record is from RNAcentral. Lineage: Eukaryota; Metazoa; Chordata; Mammalia; Primates; Hominidae.